UGGGGAAUAUUGCGCAAUGGGGAGAACCCUGACGCAGCCAUGCCGCGUGAAUGAAGAAGGCCUUAGGGUUGUAAAGUUCUUUCGGUAUUGAGGAAGGUUGAUGUGUUAAUAGCACAUCAAAUUGACGUUAAAUACAGAAGAAGCACCGGCUAACUCCGUGCCAGCAGCCGCGGUAAUACGGAGGGUGCGAGCGUUAAUCGGAAUAACUGGGCGUAAAGGGCACGCAGGCGGUUAUUUAAGUGAGGUGUGAAAGCCCUGGGCUUAACCUAGGAAUUGCAUUUCAGACUGGGUAACUAGAGUACUUUAGGGAGGGGUAGAAUUCCACGUGUAGCGGUGAAAUGCGUAGAGAUGUGGAGGAAUACCGAAGGCGAAGGCAGCCCCUUGGGAAUGUACUGACGCUCAUGUGCGAAAGCGUGGGGAGCAAACAGGAUUAGAUACCCUGGUAGUCCACGCUGUAAACGCUGUCGAUUUGGGGGUUGGGGUUUAACUCUGGCGCCCGUAGCUAACGUGAUAAAUCGACCGCCUGGGGAGUACGGCCGCAAGGUUA
RNAcentral lists this ribosomal RNA (547 nucleotides) under uncultured bacterium. Its description in RNAcentral is "bacterial SSU rRNA". It matches the Rfam family "Bacterial small subunit ribosomal RNA", at positions 355 to 896 of the family's 1533-position model. The record is from RNAcentral.